UUAUAUCAUGGAAGUAUUAUAUUGACAGGAACUCCAACAAGCGGACUUCAAACGUUUACAGUGCGAUGCCGCAAAAUCGUUAAGUAUCUGUUAAUUAACUCGACAUGUCUUAUGGAUGCAUGGGUUCCGAUCAAAUUUUUGGAACCUCGUGAAUGAUCGUAAUUACGGAACAUACCGAAAUAAACGGAUGUGUACUUAAUUGUCAAGGAAAUGAAUUUACCGACCAUGUGAAUGACAAAUAUGUCAGUUUUUACGGGUUUUGCUGCUUAAAAACAAAUAAAAAGAAACGAAACGAAAUCCCCGCGACUGUUUUCACCAAAUAAAAAUAAAACAAAAACAAAAAAAAUGAAGAGUAAAAUUACUCACAAGCCAUAGACAUUUCAGUUUAAGUUGCAAUCAAUUUUAAAAUAGUAAGAUUUUAAUUCGUGAGAGAGACGUUGACUAGACACGCGUAACUGUAAUAUACCUGUUAGGCUUGAAAAUCAUAAAAUUCUCAUGUAAAGUAAACGGAAAAGUUUUUAUCAGUAAUUAUUAUCAGCGUUUUACUGCUAACUUUGACAAAUAUUUUAAUGAAGUUUUUAAUGAAAGAAUUUCCAACAAAAAUUUAAUCCAAAAGUUGGCCGGGGAACGGGGUUAAAGAGCUUUGAUCCGAAAAAAAUAUAAUGAUUUAUUGUUUACUGAAAGUCCAAUGGCAAAUAUUUCAUGCAAUUUAACAAGAAACAGAAACAUAAAUUGCUUAGCAUACGAUGUAAGAUGUUUCAGAACUGUAAAAGCUUUUAAACACAUAAAUAAAUUCUAAAUUGGUUUCCAUGAUAAAAAAAAAAAAUAAACUGCUUAGGGCCCAUCAUGGUGAUCGUUCUUUAAAUGCAUCCAGAAAUAUUAAAAGCCAUCCGUAAAAAUAAGUCUGUCAGACGUCAGAUCGAGUAAUCUCGGACUACAUGUAGGUUGAAUGUUUAAGGUUGUUUACAACUUUGGAAUUAUCAUAAAAGGUGUAACAAUUCAUCUGCAUGUCUCGUAACCUGAUAUUGCUAUGUAGAGGUCAUCACAUGCGUGUAAUUAUUAACCUCUUUUAGUCUUUAAAACGUAUAUUUGAUAAAUAAGUUUAUAACAUUUUACGAUAGAGAAAACCAAAAAUAUUUGUGUAACACUCGAUAAAAGUUUACAAUCUUUAACUUAAAAUUUGAGUUAUCUGGCACCAUCUGGCACACUACAAGCGCAUCACAUUAUUUUCUGCAAACACUCUACUUCAGAAUCAUGUAAUUUUCAUAAUCGGAUAUUUCCCGAUUUCCAAGUUCCAAUGAUUAAAACAUACUCAACAAAACUAAAAAUAAGCUUGCCCUCUUUCCGAAUGCAGUUAAUUUUCUUAUGUCAUUCUGUUAAAUAUGGAAUAAUUUUUUCGAUCUUUUCAGCGUUGUUCUUCAUUUAUUGAACGGAAACAGGUGUUGUUAUUCAUGUGGCGAUUCACAAAUAACCACGGGAGUUUCCGUGUUUAUUUACAUUGGUAGGUAGAUAAGACAAUCGAUAUCAAAUCACGUGAUAAGACCAGCUUCAGUUAAAAGAACAGGCGAAGGCGGCAUCACAGAUACCCCACAAAGGAGUUAUCACGUACUUGACAAACUGAGUCGAAAACUGAGUCGGAACCUUUUAUUUUCUUAAAGAAAUCAGUGGGAUGGGAAUGUGCUAAUUUUUCGUUGGAGUUCCUGUCAAUAUAAUACUUCCAUGAUUAUAUCAAUAUGACCACAUUUACCACAGGGGUCUUAAUGAGAUGACAUUUAAGGAAGAUGUCAAUGAGAUAGCAACACAGAGACAUAAACAAACAAUAUCCAAAAUACAGUAGAUAUGGUUAAAUUCAGCUUUUCAAAG
Molecule: long non-coding RNA, 1863 nt
Filed under: Mytilus galloprovincialis (Mediterranean mussel)
Lineage: Eukaryota; Metazoa; Mollusca; Bivalvia; Mytilida; Mytilidae
Source: RNAcentral